AGAGCGAACGCUGGCGGCAGGCCUAAAACAUGCAAGUCGAACGAGCCCUUCGGGGUUAGUGGCGGACGGGUGAGUAACACGUGGGAACGUGCCCUUUGGUUCGGAACAACUCAGGGAAACUUGAGCUAAUACCGAAUGUGCCCUACGGGGGAAAGAUUUAUCGCCAUUGGAGCGGCCCGCGUCUGAUUAGCUAGUUGGUGAGGUAAAGGCCCACCAAGGCUACGAUCAGUAGCUGGUCUGAGAGGAUGAUCAGCCACACUGGGACUGAGACACGGCCCAGACUCCUACGGGAGGCAGCAGUUAGGAAUCUUGCGCAAUGGGCGAAAGCCUGACGCAGCCAUGCCGCGUGAAUGAUGAAGGUCUUAGGAUUGUAAAAUUCUUUCAGUGGGGAAGAUAAUGACGGUACCCACAGAAGAAGCGUCCGGCUAACUUCGUGCCAGCAGCCGC
RNAcentral lists this ribosomal RNA (447 nucleotides) under uncultured bacterium. RNAcentral's name for it is "SSU rRNA". It matches the Rfam family "Bacterial small subunit ribosomal RNA", at positions 26 to 518 of the family's 1533-position model. The record is from RNAcentral.